Canis lupus familiaris (dog) is the source of this 1140-nucleotide long non-coding RNA. RefSeq lists it as uncharacterized. The record is from RefSeq and is a predicted model, not a curated record. NCBI's taxonomy places the organism in Eukaryota, Metazoa, Chordata, Mammalia, Carnivora, Canidae. The transcript has 4 exons.
GCGGCGCGAGGUUCGCCGUAGUUGAGUGCCCACGGCCCUUCCCCCUCCAAAGAGCCUGUAGACAGCGUUCAGUCGUGUUCCCCGCAGGUACUUACACCUGUUGCUCUGCGGGGGCGAGGACGGGCAGGUCUGGCGGCACCUGCCCCAGGGCGCUUGUCGCCCGGCUUACAGAGAGGCGGGUGGUCUCCACUCGCGGCGGGAGCGGUGGAAGGAAUUCCGUCGGCCCAAGGCCGGCACCGCCAUCUUGUCGGUUUUCAAACACCAGGAACCCUAUGAAACUAGGCACCCCUGGACUGCCCACGAAUGGAGAGCCUACUUGUGGUACUCAUAGCAUAGUCAGACUACUUAUGUGAGCUUCUAGAGCAAGUUCUUCUAGUCAACAAAGUGGAAGGUGCAAGACCUUUUAUGUUGGGGGUUCUCUAGUAUUUGGAUGACCCUGAGAGAAACAUCUGAGGAGGAGGGCCUCCGUCCUGCCCAGGGUGAAUUAUGUUGUCCCGGAAGAUAAGUGUGUUCCUGCCUCAGACCAAGGAGCUUUAAAAAAUGUGGAGAUGGGUUUUGCCAGACCUCUGAGAAGUCCUGUCUAAUCACUGGGAAAAGACAGGAUGGACGGUGACCCAUCUCAUUCUGAGGAUAGACCCAUCUCAUGCCAGUUGUUCAAGCAUCCAGACUCACCCACCCAGGCUGACUGAGCUGAUUAAUGGUUUCUCAGAUGUGGAACUGCUUGAUCAAAGACGAAAAACAUUUUAAGAUUCUUAGAACACACUGUCAAAUUGCUUUCCAUAAAGUGUGCAUUCACAGGGUCUUGCUCCCAUUGGAAGAUGUUGGUGUCUAUAAAGGUCCGAAUGAUGGAAGCUUUUUCCACAGCCGAGGCAUGAGUGACGCUCCUUUCCUGAAUGAGUUUCCUAAUGUUCAAUGAAUCUAAUGUUGAGAGAUUCUUCCAGGGUGAAAUUCUCGGGGUUCCUCUCUAUAGAAUGGAUUGAUGCUCUAUAAGUUCUGCUAAGUCUUGGGAUUUCCAAAUUGAUUUUCUGAAGGUUUUUAAUUUUUUUUUUUAAACAGAACCACAGAGGGACAACCUGGGUGGCUCAGUGGUUGACUGUCUGCCUUCGGCCCAGAGUGUGAGCCUGGAGUCCCAGGAUCGAG